CCAUGCAGGAUAAAGAAAUUUGGGGUGGCAUUGACUGUAACAGAGGUCAACCUUUUGUUGAAUAUAAAAGGUUAUUUGGAUACAAUAAAAGCAGAGGCUUAGUUAUGAAAAAUGGGAUACUUCAUGGGAAUCUAGUAUUUUACCCCUUAGUG
Long non-coding RNA from Hibiscus syriacus, 152 nucleotides. RefSeq lists it as uncharacterized. The transcript is spliced from 3 exons. Lineage: Eukaryota; Viridiplantae; Streptophyta; Magnoliopsida; Malvales; Malvaceae. The record is from RefSeq and is a predicted model, not a curated record.